AUGAGCAGCGGCGGCGGCGACGACGAUGCGGGGGCUGGGGACGGCGGGCGGGCCGAGUGGCAGCGCAUCUACGACCGGGUCGAGGCGCUCGCCGCCGGUCGCGCGCGGCUGGAGGCGCGCAACAGGACCCAGCAUGAGUUCUGGGACGCCCGCGACAAGAUCAACCACUCCCGCCUCCACCAGGCGGAGCUGAGCAGAAGCAGGUGGGAGGCGGCCUGCAGGGAGCUGCUCCCUUCCGAUGAUCCCAAGCUCGCCGAACUGCUAGAGAGUGAUUUGGAGGAUUCAAGAACUUGUGAAGCUCUCUUGGACACCGAAAACUUAGAACUGCUGGUACAACUGAAGGAAGAUGGAACUUGUGUAGAGCUUAAUGAAAACACUGCAGAUCAUGAGCACACUUCCGGAGAUUUAAUAUCAGAACUAAGAAAGUUAAAGCGAAUCUAUGAGACCCUUCUAGAGGGUAAGCUAAAUGAAUUGAACUCCUUGGAUAAGGAGAAUGACAACCAGAAGCUCAAAGUUGCGAAAUCUAAGACACUUAAACGCAAGUUUGCCUCCUUAUCAAAUAUACAAUCAAAGGAAGCUGGAAAUUGUGUGGAGACUAUUCAAGAGAAUGCGGAUCAUGGGGCCAUCGCAAGAGAUUUAAGAGCAGAGCUCAGAAAACUGAAGCAAGCUUAUGAGACCCUUAGCUCAAACAAGGAUAAGGAAAUUUCUGCACCACUUGCAGUGGAGGAUUUUCUUUUGAACAAACUGCUGAGAAUUGACAAGGACAACGCAGGGCUCCUUAAGAUAAAGGAAGUGGAGGCAGCACAAGCUAACGAAGCAGCACAAAAGCUUCAGCAGACUGUAGAGGAACUGCAAGUGGCGGUCCGAUAUAAGGAUGAUGAGAUUGGCAGAUUACGAGCAGAAGCGGGGCCCCUUAAGAUAAAGGAAGUGGAGGCAGCACAAGCUAGCAAAGCAGUGCAAAUGCUUCAGCAAAGUGUAGAGGAGCUGCAAGUGGCAGUCGGAAAUAAAGAUGAUGAGAUUGGCAAAUUGGGAGCAGAAGCUGCUAGUGUAGAAAAAAUGGUACUGACUCUUGAGGGUAAGCUACUGGAAAUGCAGUCCUUGGUUAAGGAGAAAAAUGAUGAAAUACAAAAACUGAAAAAUGGGCAACCUGAGAGUCUGAAAUGCAAAUGUGCUUCUUCUAUACCAGUUGUAAGUAUUCCUAUUCCAUUCCAGGAGUUCGUGAGGCAGAUGCCCCUUUUCGACGAGUGGGGGCUGCGCCCGGCCGGCCUUGAAGGGCCCCGCGAGAACCCCGCCCUUGUGGUUCCUUUGCCCGCCGUCCCUGCGGCGCGCCCCCCAGAGGUGGAUGCAGGGGGGCGAGCGCCGCCGAGUGCCGCUGGGGCAGGUGCUGGAGAGAUGAUGCAGCCCGGCGCUUCUGAGACGUCAGCCCCCGAGGCUCGGGUGAGCUGCCCUGAGGGGGUGGCAGGAGAGAUGGCUCAAUCCAAGGCUCCUGAGGUCGCCGCCCCCGAAGCUUGGGUGAGCAGUCCUGAGGUGGAGGCUGGGGAGCUGGCACGGCCUGACGCUCCCGAGGUCGCCACCCCAGGGGCCCCGCCGAACGACCCAGACGCCGACGCUCUCGCCUCUUGCGCCUCGCGCCUUGGCCCGCUCCGCAUAAACUUCGAAGCACUCCGCAAGAUGAAACCGAGUGGUCGUGCCUAUCGGCUGCUGAAGCCGAGGAUGUACAUAGCCAUAGACGAGUAA
This 1737-nucleotide ribosomal RNA is filed under the name Triticum aestivum (bread wheat). RNAcentral describes it as "partial small subunit ribosomal RNA". Lineage: Eukaryota; Viridiplantae; Streptophyta; Magnoliopsida; Poales; Poaceae. The record is from RNAcentral.